ACGCUGGCGGCAGGCUUAACACAUGCAAGUCGAACGGUAACAGGGAUUAGCUUGCUAAUCUGCUGACGAGUGGCGGACGGGUGAGUAAUGCUUGGGAAUCUGGCUUAUGGAGGGGGAUAACUACGGGAAACUGUAGCUAAUACCGCGUAAAAUCUUCGGAUUAAAGGGUGGGACUUUCGAGCCACCUGCCAUAAGAUGAGCCCAAGUGGGAUUAGGUAGUUGGUUAGGUAAAGGCUGACCAAGCCGACGAUCUCUAGCUGGUCUGAGAGGAUGACCAGCCACACUGGAACUGAGACACGGUCCAGACUCCUACGGGAGGCAGCAGUGGGGAAUAUUGCACAAUGGGGGGAACCCUGAUGCAGCCAUGCCGCGUGAAUGAAGAAGGCCUUCGGGUUGUAAAGUUCUUUCGGUGACGAGGAAGGUUGAUAGGUUAAUAGCCUAUCAAAUUGACGUUAAUCACAGAAGAAGCACCGGCUAACUCCGUGCCAGCAGCCGCGGUAAUACGGGGGGUGCGAGCGUUAAUCGGAAUAACUGGGCGUAAAGGGCACGCAGGCGGUGACUUAAGUGAGAUGUGAAAGCCCCGAGCUUAACUUGGGAAUUGCAUUUCAUACUGGGUCGCUAGAGUACUUUAGGGAGGGGUAGAAUUCCACGUGUAGCGGUGAAAUGCGUAGAGAUGUGGAGGAAUACCGAAGGCGAAGGCAGCCCCUUGGGAAUGUACUGACGCUCAUGUGCGAAAGCGUGGGGAGCAAACAGGAUUAGAUACCCUGGUAGUCCACGCUGUAAACGAUGUCGAUUUGGGGAUUGGGCUUUGAGCUUGGUGCCCGUAGCUAACGUGAUAAAUCGACCGCCUGGGGAGUACGGCCGCAAGGUUAAAACUCAAAUGAAUUGACGGGGGCCCGCACAAGCGGUG
RNAcentral lists this ribosomal RNA (910 nucleotides) under uncultured bacterium. Its description in RNAcentral is "bacterial SSU rRNA". It matches the Rfam family "Bacterial small subunit ribosomal RNA", at positions 33 to 934 of the family's 1533-position model. The record is from RNAcentral.